GUAGAGCACUGUUUGGACGAGGGGCCCCUCUCGGGUUACCGAAUUCAGACAAACUCCGAAUGCCAAUUAAUUUAACUUGGGAGUCAGAACAUGGGUGAUAAGGUCCGUGUUCGAAAGGGAAACAGCCCAGACCACCAGCUAAGGUCCCAAAAUAUAUGUUAAGUGGAAAAGGAUGUGGCGUUGCCCAGACAACUAGGAUGUUGGCUUAGAAGCAGCCAUCAUUUAAAGAGUGCGUAAUAGCUCACUAGUCGAGUGACACUGCGCCGAAAAUGUACCGGGGCUAAACAUAUUACCGAAGCUGUGGAUUGUCCUUUGGACAAUGGUAGGAGAGCGUUCUAAGGGCGUUGAAGCAUGAUCGUAAGGACAUGUGGAGCGCUUAGAAGUGAGAAUGCCGGUGUGAGUAGCGAAAGACGGGUGAGAAUCCCGUCCACCGAUUGACUAAGGUUUCCAGAGGAAGGCUCGUCCGCUCUGGGUUAGUCGGGUCCUAAGCUGAGGCCGACAGGCGUAGGCGAUGGAUAACAGGUUGAUAUUCCUGUACCACCUAUAAUCGUUUUAAUCGAUGGGGGGACGCAGUAGGAUAGGCGAAGCGUGCGAUUGGAUUGCACGUCUAAGCAGUAAGGCUGAGUAUUAGGCAAAUCCGGUACUCGUUAAGGCUGAGCUGUGAUGGGGAGAAGACAUUGUGUCUUCGAGUCGUUGAUUUCACACUGCCGAGAAAAGCCUCUAGAUAGAAAAUAGGUGCCCGUACCGCAAACCGACACAGGUAGUCAAGAUGAGAAUUCUAAGGUGAGCGAGCGAACUCUCGUUAAGGAACUCGGCAAAAUGACCCCGUAACUUCGGGAGAAGGGGUGCUCUUUAGGGUUAACGCCCAGAAGAGCCGCAGUGAAUAGGCCCAAGCGACUGUUUAUCAAAAACACAGGUCUCUGCUAAACCGUAAGGUGAUGUAUAGGGGCUGACGCCUGCCCGGUGCUGGAAGGUUAAGAGGAGUGGUUAGCUUCUGCGAAGCUACGAAUCGAAGCCCCAGUAAACGGCGGCCGUAACUAUAACGGUCCUAAGGUAGCGAAAUUCCUUGUCGGGUAAGUUCCGACCCGCACGAAAGGCGUAACGAUUUGGGCACUGUCUCAACGAGAGACUCGGUGAAAUCAUAGUACCUGUGAAGAUGCAGGUUACCCGCGACAGGACGGAAAGACCCCGUGGAGCUUUACUGUAGCCUGAUAUUGAAAUUCGGCACAGCUUGUACAGGAUAGGUAGGAGCCUUUGAAACGUGAGCGCUAGCUUACGUGGAGGCGCUGGUGGGAUACUACCCUAGCUGUGUUGGCUUUCUAACCCGCACCACUUAUCGUGGUGGGAGACAGUGUCAGGCGGGCAGUUUGACUGGGGCGGUCGCCUCCUAAAAGGUAACGGAGGCGCUCAAAGGUUCCCUCAGAAUGGUUGGAAAUCAUUCAUAGAGUGUAAAGGCAUAAGGGAGCUUGACUGCGAGACCUACAAGUCGAGCAGGGUCGAAAGACGGACUUAGUGAUCCGGUGGUUCCGCAUGGAAGGGCCAUCGCUCAACGGAUAAAAGCUACCCCGGGGAUAACAGGCUUAUCUCCCCCAAGAGUUCACAUCGACGGGGAGGUUUGGCACCUCGAUGUCGGCUCAUCGCAUCCUGGGGCUGUAGUCGGUCCCAAGGGUUGGGCUGUUCGCCCAUUAAAGCGGUACGCGAGCUGGGUUCAGAACGUCGUGAGACAGUUCGGUCCCUAUCCGUCGUGGGCGUAGGAAAUUUGAGAGGAGCUGUCCUUAGUACGAGAGGACCGGGAUGGACAUACCUCUGGUGUACCAGUUGUCGUGCCAACGGCAUAGCUGGGUAGCUAUGUGUGGACGGGAUAAGUGCUGAAAGCAUCUAAGCAUGAAGCCCCCCUCAAGAUGAGAUUUCCCAACUUCGGUUAUAAGAUCCCUCAAAGAUGAUGAGGUUAAUAGGUUCGAGGUGGAAGCAUGGUGACAUGUGGAGCUGACGAAUACUAAUCGAUCGAAGACUUAAUCAA
RNAcentral lists this ribosomal RNA (2020 nucleotides) under Staphylococcus aureus M0358. RNAcentral's name for it is "bacterial LSU rRNA". It matches the Rfam family "Bacterial large subunit ribosomal RNA", at positions 902 to 2925 of the family's 2925-position model. Lineage: Bacteria; Bacillati; Bacillota; Bacilli; Caryophanales; Staphylococcaceae. The record is from RNAcentral.